This 88-nucleotide transfer RNA is filed under the name Actinomycetota bacterium. Its description in RNAcentral is "tRNA-Ser". It matches the Rfam family "tRNA". From Rfam's summary of the family: Transfer RNA (tRNA) molecules are approximately 80 nucleotides in length. Their secondary structure includes four short double-helical elements and three loops (D, anti-codon, and T loops). Lineage: Bacteria; Bacillati; Actinomycetota. The record is from RNAcentral.
GGAGGGAUGGCAGAGCGGACGAAUGCGCGGCUCUUGAAAAGCCGUGGAACUCCGGUUCCCGUGGGUUCGAAUCCCACUCCCUCCGCCA